CUUUCUCUUAGUCUCUUACGGCUCAUCUCUCUCGGACUCUCCUUGGUCCUCUCUUAGUCUUGCUCGAUAAUCAGAGAAAAUUAGAAUAUCUUUCAAUUGUGAAGGUCAUUAUUCUGUGGUUUAUCAAGGAUUGGUUGGCUUCAAUGGUCGACAAAGUUUCAUAUCCAACAUUACUUGAUGAAGAGGAAGAGCCGGAUUCAAGUGGUCGAGAAAAGAGGAAGAGAAUGUCAUUUGUUGAUUUUGUUGAGUAUAGACCAUUAGACCUUGCUGAUAGCUUUGUAGUUUGUUAAAGCUACUGCUCCUAUGCUUUUUGAGAUGUGUUUUUUCUUCAACACUAUGUUCUAUGGUCCAGCGUUGUUGGUUCUGGCAUUGAGUUCUGAUUCAGUAUCCAUUGCUUCAGUAUCUCCUUCAUUCUGCAGCAGAAUGUUUGCUCCUUGCUUUUAUUGCAAUCUUUGAUGCUUGAUUGAAUACAGAAAUUGAAAUCCCACAGUAGCCUGCUCAAUGGGACCGAUGUCGACAAAUGUAAAGUUUAUUCUAAUGUUUCUAAACCUGUUUUGCUUAAUGUUCAGCCCAGUUAUGCUUUGCUUUU
Long non-coding RNA from Nicotiana tabacum (common tobacco), 589 nucleotides. RefSeq lists it as uncharacterized. Lineage: Eukaryota; Viridiplantae; Streptophyta; Magnoliopsida; Solanales; Solanaceae. The record is from RefSeq and is a predicted model, not a curated record.